AUGGCGUCGGCACAACCGGAUCUGCAGACCAUCGUGCUGAGAGUGACCAUUCACUGCCAUGGCUGCAAGAAGAAGGUCCGGAAGGUGCUCAAGAACAUCCAAGGCGUGCAGGACGUCAAGGUAGAUGCGCAGCAGCACAAGGUGACCGUGACGGGCACCGUGGACGCCGAGACGCUCGUCAAGAGGCUGUACAAGUCAGGCAAGCAUGCCCUGCCAUGGCAACACACACCCGCCGCGCCUGCCAACAGCCCCGAGGCUGCGCCCGCAACUGAGGCCCCGGCGCCGGCCCCUCCGGCCAAGGACGGCAGCAAGGAUCCUGCUGCGGCGGACAAGAAGCCAGCGGAACCUGUGAAGGAGCUGCAUGCCGACAGCUCGGAUAAGAAGCUGGAGCAGGAGGAGACGUCCCCGGAGAAGAAGCCUGAGACGGAGAAGGAAGCAGAGUGUGAGAAGAAGGCUGAGAAAGACGCGGCGAAACCAAGCGAUGAGGCAAACAAAGACGGCGGCGAUGGCGCGGCGACCGAGCCCAAGGCAAAGGGCACCGAGCCCGAGAGUGAAUCCGCUGCCGCCACAAAGGAGGCCGGCGAUGACGAGGCCGAAGACAAGAAGAAACAGAGCAAGCCCAAGGACGCACCUGCGCCGGACAGGUCCCUAUCUCCGUCGCCGGCGCAGGCGCACGCGCAGCAGGAGUUCAACCCGUACAGCGCGCCACAGCCUGUGAUGAGCAGCUGA
RNAcentral lists this ribosomal RNA (729 nucleotides) under Triticum aestivum (bread wheat). Its description in RNAcentral is "partial small subunit ribosomal RNA". The record is from RNAcentral. Lineage: Eukaryota; Viridiplantae; Streptophyta; Magnoliopsida; Poales; Poaceae.